Molecule: ribosomal RNA, 468 nt
Filed under: uncultured bacterium
Lineage: Bacteria
Description: partial 16S ribosomal RNA
Rfam family: Bacterial small subunit ribosomal RNA
Source: RNAcentral
GACGAACGCUGGCGGCGUGCUUAACACAUGCAAGUCGAACGGAAAGGCCCUGCUUUUGUGGGGUGCUCGAGUGGCGAACGGGUGAGUAACACGUGAGUAACCUGCCCUUGACUUUGGGAUAACUUCAGGAAACUGGGGCUAAUACCGGAUAGGAGCUCCUGCUGCAUGGUGGAGGUUGGAAAGUUUCGGCGGUUGGGGAUGGACUCGCGGCUUAUCAGCUUGUUGGUGGGGUAAUGGCUUACCAAGGCUUUGACGGGUAGCCGGCCUGAGAGGGUGACCGGCCACAUUGGGACUGAGAUACGGCCCAGACUCCUACGGGAGGCAGCAGUGGGGAAUAUUGCACAAUGGGCGGAAGCCUGAUGCAGCAACGCCGCGUGCGGGAUGACGGCCUUCGGGUUGUAAACCGCUUUCGCCUGUGACGAAGCGUGAGUGACGGUAAUGGGUAAAGAAGCACCGGCUAACUACGUG